CACUCCUGCGGGAGGCAGCAGUGGGGAAUAUUGCACAAUGGGCGCAAGCCUGAUGCAGCCAUGCCGCGUGUAUGAAGAAGGCCUUCGGGUUGUAAAGUACUUUCAGCGGGGAGGAAGGCAAUACGGUUAAUAACCGUGUUGAUUGACGUUACCCGCAGAAGAAGCACCGGCUAACUCCGUGCCAGCAGCCGCGGUAAUACGGAGGGUGCAAGCGUUAAUCGGAAUUACUGGGCGUAAAGCGCACGCAGGCGGUCUGUCAAGUCGGAUGUGAAAUCCCCGGGCUCAACCUGGGAACUGCAUUCGAAACUGGCAGGCUUGAGUCUUGUAGAGGGGGGUAGAAUUCCAGGUGUAGCGGUGAAAUGCGUAGAGAUCUGGAGGAAUACCGGUGGCGAAGGCGGCCCCCUGGACAAAGACUGACGCUCAGGUGCGAAAGCGUGGGGAGCAAACAGGAUUAGAAACCCGUGUAGUCCC
This 471-nucleotide ribosomal RNA is filed under the name uncultured organism. RNAcentral describes it as "partial 16S ribosomal RNA". It matches the Rfam family "Bacterial small subunit ribosomal RNA", at positions 334 to 797 of the family's 1533-position model. The record is from RNAcentral.